Molecule: transfer RNA, 65 nt
Filed under: Dipodomys ordii (Ord's kangaroo rat)
Lineage: Eukaryota; Metazoa; Chordata; Mammalia; Rodentia; Heteromyidae
Rfam family: tRNA
About the family: Transfer RNA (tRNA) molecules are approximately 80 nucleotides in length.
Source: Rfam by way of RNAcentral
GGUGGCUCAGUGGUAGAGUACUUGCCUUGCAUGCAUGAGGCCCUGGGUUCAAUUCCUCAGGACCA